CCUUGUUUGUCGUGGCGACCAGAUGACACCAGGAGUCAUGGAGCCCCUGGCCAGUGUGAGUCGCAGCAGAGCAGCAGGGGAGACCCUGGAGGAGGGAGCUCCCCUCAAUUGAUGGCUGCAGAUUGAAUUUCCAGAGUCUGAGGAGGAGGAAGUGCUUCA
Molecule: non-coding RNA, 159 nt
Organism: Myotis brandtii (Brandt's bat)
Lineage: Eukaryota; Metazoa; Chordata; Mammalia; Chiroptera; Vespertilionidae
Source: Rfam